Molecule: long non-coding RNA, 445 nt
Filed under: Mytilus galloprovincialis (Mediterranean mussel)
Lineage: Eukaryota; Metazoa; Mollusca; Bivalvia; Mytilida; Mytilidae
Source: RNAcentral
UUAUUACCUUCCAUAAGAUAUAAUAUUGUCCAGGUAAUAACAGAACUAUUAACCAGCCCUUAAUGUUCAACCACAAAACAAUAAAACAUGUAAUAGAGAUUCGUUUAUGACUUGUACUUUCUCCUUUGAAGUGUUGUGUGUAUUUCCCUCUACAUCACUCUCAUUAAGUGUGACUACCAGAGACCUUGAAGGGGAGUGUUUACAAAACGAGGAAAAUAAAUACUUCACUAACUCAUUACCAGCUGUUUGGGGAAAAAACUAAAACAUAUGGGAUUUAAUACCUAGGAUAGAAAUUUAGAUACAUAAGAUAUUUGAUUUUCUUCCCAGUGAAUUUAUGGAUUUAGGAUAUUGACUUAUCUGUAGGUAUUCAUAAUUUCUAUUUUUAGCACCAGUUGGGGGAAAUAAUGUAUGGUUCACAUUUAAUGCAUGUUAAACUGAAAAGCAC